UCCAACGUCACCACUCUUGAGGUGGAUGCCAUCAUUGGAGGCGAUAAUAUCAUAUCACGCAAGGCUAGCGAAGGACGUAACUCCGAGUCUGUGCAAGUCCCCUCGGCAAAGCCUGGCUGUGAUUCCACCCCCUCUUCGUGGUAGCCUUGCGACGGCGGUGACAUCACGCUCUACUCUGUCCAAAACUUUUUUCCCCUUUCUCCUCCUCCAGUCC
This 214-nucleotide long non-coding RNA is filed under the name Elaeis guineensis (African oil palm). RNAcentral's name for it is "long non-coding RNA (EGUI_LNC003275)". The record is from RNAcentral. Lineage: Eukaryota; Viridiplantae; Streptophyta; Magnoliopsida; Arecales; Arecaceae.